UACGUAGGUGGCAAGCGUUGUCCGGAAUUACUGGGCGUAAAGGGCGAGUAGGCGGUUGGGUAAGUCUUUGGUGAAAUCUUCCGGCUCAACUGGAAGCAGCCCGAAGAAACUACCUGACUUGAGGGACGUAGAGGAGAGCGGAAUUCCUGGUGUAGCGGUGAAAUGCGUAGAUAUCAGGAGGAACACCCGUGGCGAAGGCGGCUCUCUGGACGUCUCCUGACGCUGAGGCGCGAAAGCGUGGGGAGCAAACCGG
Molecule: ribosomal RNA, 253 nt
Filed under: uncultured bacterium
Lineage: Bacteria
Description: partial 16S ribosomal RNA
Rfam family: Bacterial small subunit ribosomal RNA
Source: RNAcentral